Molecule: long non-coding RNA, 566 nt
Filed under: Monodelphis domestica (gray short-tailed opossum)
Lineage: Eukaryota; Metazoa; Chordata; Mammalia; Didelphimorphia; Didelphidae
Description: lncRNA (ENSMODG00000050596.1)
Source: RNAcentral
AAUUAAACUGACUGCCCCUGCACAGUGCUAAAGCAAAGCUUCAACUGUGAUUGGUAGACAUAAAAUUAGGGGAAGGCACAGGAAGUGACACAAAAGAAAGUGUCUUUAAAAGGGAGUUACAUCUUCCUGAGUGGAGUUCAACUUGGACUUUGGCUUCUUCUUGUGUUGGAAGUUGAGAUUGGAGAAGAAUCUGCUAACUGGACCUGAGACCUUGUUUCUGGGGAGGCUGUUCUUAGAUCUUCUCCUUUAGACUGACAGGGCUCUCACACAAUAAUGAAAGUGGUCCUAAGCCUCGAUAAAAGAAGCUCCAUGGAGAUACUAUAAUGAUGGAAGAUGAAUAUGAAAAACAAAGAAUUCUUGAAAGACCUAUGGGAAAUAAUGAAAAGCAGAGUAACGAUAGACUGUGACUAUAGAAAGGUACAAGCAGUGGACUUCCUAGACUGUGGAAGAUCAUGAUGCUCCUAAGGAUUUUGUGUAUGUUGUGGGGGAUCCGGUGUUUGUAUUAAUUUUGACUGUGACUAUGCCCUUGAAAUAAAUAGUCAUUUAUAAAAGUUAAUCUAUUAAGU